This is a non-coding RNA of Podarcis lilfordi (Lilford's wall lizard), 79 nucleotides long. The record is from the annotation of a GenBank genome assembly. NCBI's taxonomy places the organism in Eukaryota, Metazoa, Chordata, Lepidosauria, Squamata, Lacertidae.
UUGUCAUACAUAGCUCAGUUGGUAGAGCAAAAGGACUUCUAAUCUCAAAGCCAUGGGUUUGAGACCCACAUUGGGCAAA